AUAUUUUCAAUGAAUAAUAUUUUUCUAAAUGUGUUAUAUUUGAUCUAUACAUAUAUUAGUAUGUUUAAUGAUUAUUUUGUUCUUCCAAGAUUAUUAAUAAAGGGAAUGGAUACUUGCUAAUUGCUGUCACCCAAAUUACGUGGAUAUCCAAAUUGAAAUCCAAAUUUGAGCUAUCUGUUUUGCAUUCGCAUUCAACAACAUCUGAAUUCGAAUUCAUAUUCGAGUAGAAAUAUAGUAAAAAGUGCUUUCCGAAUUUGAUUCCAUGCAAACCCGAUCUGAUUUCCAUCCCUACGGCUGGAAUGUUUCGAUUUCCUUACGUGCUACAGCUACAGCACUCGCUCCACCCUCCCAUUCAUCUCCCAUCAUCUUCACCAGCUGUCUCAUCAUGGAUCCAAACAUGCCACCACCUUCUACGGCAAUGAAUUUAUAUAUGGACUCCCCUCCUGCAUCCAUAAUCCUCCAGAGUUUCUUCAUCACUAUACCAAAAAGAAUUCAUACCAAUAAAU
This 506-nucleotide long non-coding RNA is filed under the name Setaria viridis. RNAcentral's name for it is "long non-coding RNA (SVIR_LNC004117)". Lineage: Eukaryota; Viridiplantae; Streptophyta; Magnoliopsida; Poales; Poaceae. The record is from RNAcentral.